GAUGAACGCUGGCGGCGUGCCUAAUACAUGCAAGUCGAGCGGACAGACGAGGAGCUUGCUGCUCUGACGUUAGCGGAGGGCGGGUGAGAAACACGUGUAUAACCUACCUAUAAGACUGGGAUAACUUCGGGAAACGGGCUCUAAUACGGGAUAAUAUAUUGAAGCAUAUGGGUCAAUGGUAAAAGACGGUUUUUCGGUCACUUCUCGAUGCAUCGGCGCCGCAUUAGCUAGUCGUUAAGGUCAAGGCUUACCACGGCAAGGAUGCGUAGCCGACGUGAGAGGGUGGUAGGCCGCACUGGAACUGAGACACGGUCCAGACUCCUACGGGAGGCAGCAGUAGGGAAUCGGCCGCAAUGGGCGAAAGCCUUACGGAGCAGCGCGGCGUGAGUGAUGAAGGUCUUCGGAUCGUAAAACUCUGUUAUUAGGUAAGAACAAAUGUGUAAGUAACUAUGCACGGCUUGACGGUACCUAGUCAGAAAGCCACGGCUAACUACGUG
Molecule: ribosomal RNA, 497 nt
Filed under: uncultured bacterium
Lineage: Bacteria
Description: partial 16S ribosomal RNA
Rfam family: Bacterial small subunit ribosomal RNA
Source: RNAcentral